This 492-nucleotide ribosomal RNA is filed under the name uncultured bacterium. RNAcentral's name for it is "partial 16S ribosomal RNA". It matches the Rfam family "Bacterial small subunit ribosomal RNA", at positions 29 to 507 of the family's 1533-position model. The record is from RNAcentral.
AGUGAACGCUGGCGGUAGGCCUAACACAUGCAAGUCGAACGGCAGCACAGUAAGAGCCUGCUCUUACGGGUGGCGAGUGGCGGACGGGUGAGGAAUACAUCGGAAUCUACUUUUUCGUGGGGGAUAACGUAGGGAAACUUACGCUAAUACCGCAUACGACCUACGGGUGAAAGCAGGGGAUCUUCGGACCUUGCGCGAUUGAAUGAGCCGAUGUCGGAUUAGCUAGUUGGCGGGGUAAAGGCCCACCAAGGCGACGAUCCGUAGCUGGUCUGAGAGGAUGAUCAACCACACUGGAACUGAGACACGGUCCAGACUCCUACGGGAGGCAGCAGUGGGGAAUAUUGGACAAUGGGCGCAAGCCUGAUCCAGCCAUACCGCGUGGGUGAAGAAGGCCUUCGGGUUGUAAAGCCCUUUUGUUGGGAAAGAAAAGCAGCAGGUUAAUACCCCGCUGUUCUGACGGUACCCAAAGAAUAAGCACCGGCUAACUUCGUG